CCUACGGGUGGCAGCAGUGAGGAAUAUUGGUCAAUGGACGCAAGUCUGAACCAGCCAUGCCGCGUGCAGGAAGAAGGCUCUGUGAGUUGUAAACUGCUUUUGUACGAGGAUAAACGCAGAUACGCGUAUCUGUCUGAAAGUAUCGUACGAAUAAGGAUCGGCUAACUCCGUGCCAGCAGCCGCGGUAAUACGGAGGAUUCAAGCGUUAUCCGGAUUUAUUGGGUUUAAAGGGUGCGUAGGCGGUCGGAUAAGUUAGAUGUGAAAUCCCGAGGCUCAACUUCGGACUUGCCUCUGAUACUGUCAGGCUAGAGAGUAGUAGCGGUAGGCGGAAUGUACGGUGUAGCGGUGAAAUGCUUAGAGAUCAUACAGAACACCGAUUGCGAAGGCAGCUUACCAAGCUACCUCUGACGUUGAGGCACGAAAGCGUGGGGAGCAAACAGGAUUAGAUACCCUAGUAGUC
RNAcentral lists this ribosomal RNA (460 nucleotides) under uncultured bacterium. RNAcentral describes it as "partial 16S ribosomal RNA". It matches the Rfam family "Bacterial small subunit ribosomal RNA", at positions 338 to 795 of the family's 1533-position model. The record is from RNAcentral.